Molecule: transfer RNA, 99 nt
Filed under: Xylaria intraflava
Lineage: Eukaryota; Fungi; Ascomycota; Sordariomycetes; Xylariales; Xylariaceae
Description: tRNA-Pro
Rfam family: tRNA
About the family: Transfer RNA (tRNA) molecules are approximately 80 nucleotides in length. Their secondary structure includes four short double-helical elements and three loops (D, anti-codon, and T loops). Further hydrogen bonds mediate the characteristic L-shaped molecular structure. tRNAs have two regions of fundamental functional importance: the anti-codon, which is responsible for specific mRNA codon recognition, and the 3' end, to which the tRNAs corresponding amino acid is attached (by aminoacyl-tRNA synthetases). tRNAs cope with the degeneracy of the genetic code in two manners: having more than one tRNA (with a specific anti-codon) for a particular amino acid; and 'wobble' base-pairing, i.e. permitting non-standard base-pairing at the 3rd anti-codon position.
Source: RNAcentral
GGCUUAGUGGUCUAGUGGUAUGAUUCCUGCUUCGGGAGAACUCCCUUCCAUUCUAUGUGGGAAUGCAGGAGGCCCCGGGUUCGAAUCCCGGCUGAGCCC